CUGACGUUAGCGGCGGACGGGUGAGUAACACGUGGGUAACCUACCUAUAAGACCGGGAUAACUCCGGGAAACCGGGGCUAAUACCGGAUAAUACAUGAAACCGCAUGGUUUCAUGAUGAAAGACGGUUUUGCUGUCACUUAUAGAUGGACCCGCGGCGUAUUAGCUAGUUGGUAAGGUAACGGCUUACCAAGGCAACGAUACGUAGCCGACCUGAGAGGGUGAUCGGCCACACUGUAACUGAUACACGGUCCAG
Molecule: ribosomal RNA, 254 nt
Filed under: uncultured Staphylococcus sp.
Lineage: Bacteria; Bacillati; Bacillota; Bacilli; Caryophanales; Staphylococcaceae
Description: partial 16S ribosomal RNA
Rfam family: Bacterial small subunit ribosomal RNA
Source: RNAcentral